GAGAAAUUGUAAGGUUUAUAUGUGUGUGUGUGUACAAAGGCUAAAAAGGACAUGCUUGAUGAGUAUGCAAUAUUUGAAUUAAGAACAACUUGCAGUGGUUGAAAGGUAGAACUUCUAUUCAAAUAAGCGUCCUGUUCAAUCACUGCAUCAUUCUGAGUUUCACCUUAAACCGGUUUCUAUAAUGAUCAUCUGUUUACGCGCAACU
Molecule: unclassified non-coding RNA, 205 nt
Filed under: Hevea brasiliensis (rubber tree)
Lineage: Eukaryota; Viridiplantae; Streptophyta; Magnoliopsida; Malpighiales; Euphorbiaceae
Source: RNAcentral